GACGUCGUCGUCCGCGACGAAGACGUCGGCCGUGAACAGAUCGACGAUGAGAGGCCUACGUUCGAUUGGAGCUCACCCUUUUCUACGUCCUGAAAAAAUACAGCCAGUAAAUUCAGAUUAUGCGAUGAUACAGAACCGGCUUAUGGAAGACGGAGAAUUUCAAGGUCAACUUCUUUUUUUCAUGGAUUUUCUUUGGAAUUUUUUAGUCUGACAAGUAGGAAAGAUAGUUAUGUAAAGAAUGAAACAAAAACGAGGAAAGUAUCACAUCGUAUCUUAGCGCUUCCUGUGAUUAUCGAACUACUUUCUGAACCAGUUUGAAAAGGUUAAUUAGGUGAUACUUUGAAUUGGAAUAAUUAAUAUAAUUGUAUGAACAAUCUGAAUUUCAGUUUCUAGAGAAAGGAAUAAAAAUGUACUGAAAUUUUUUAUUUCAAUAUACAACACUUAUCGUCUAGGAGGUGUUAAUAUUUUAUUUCAAAUAUUUUACUUGUGUGCCGAAAAUUUCUAUUUUGUUUCCUAAGUGUACACAGCUAAUAUUUGAUCUGUGUAUUGCCCGUCAUUAAAUAAAUAAAGAAGAUCGUACAAUGAAUUGUAAUUUCAUAUAAAAAUUCCUAUUUAAUAAACAAUUGAUAUUUAAAACAGUAAAAUUAAUGCAAA
This is a non-coding RNA of Osmia lignaria (orchard mason bee), 654 nucleotides long. The record is from RefSeq and is a predicted model, not a curated record. NCBI's taxonomy places the organism in Eukaryota, Metazoa, Arthropoda, Insecta, Hymenoptera, Megachilidae.